RNAcentral lists this ribosomal RNA (368 nucleotides) under uncultured organism. Its description in RNAcentral is "bacterial SSU rRNA". It matches the Rfam family "Bacterial small subunit ribosomal RNA", at positions 526 to 896 of the family's 1533-position model. The record is from RNAcentral.
CGUAGGUGGCAAGCGUUGUCCGGAUUUAUUGGGUUUAAAGGGUGCGUAGGCGGUGUCCUAAGUCAGUUGUGAAAUACGGCAGCUUAACUGUCGAGGUGCAAUUGAUACUGGGAUACUUGAGUACUGAUGAGGUAUGCGGAAUGGACGGUGUAGCGGUGAAAUGCUUAGAUAUCGUCCAGAACACCGAUAGCGAAGGCAGCAUACUAAGGAGUAACUGACGCUGAGGCACGAAAGUGUGGGGAUCAAACAGGAUUAGAUACCCUGGUAGUCCACACUGUAAACGAUGAUCACUCGAUGUUGGCGAUACACGGCCAGCGUCUUAGCAAAAGCGAUAAGUGAUCCACCUGGGGAGUACGCCGGCAACGGUG